RNAcentral lists this long non-coding RNA (328 nucleotides) under Nicotiana benthamiana. RNAcentral's name for it is "long non-coding RNA (NBEN_LNC020986)". The record is from RNAcentral. Lineage: Eukaryota; Viridiplantae; Streptophyta; Magnoliopsida; Solanales; Solanaceae.
UUAUUUCCGAUAAUUCCCAAUGAUACAAGAUUCCCCAACUUUAUACGCAACAAUUGAAUGAAUUGAAAUGCCCUAACUCUCCUACCUGAAACUUUAACAGAAACUGGUACUCCCGUAGCCCUUAACCCCUUUUCAACAAAUUACAUUUUAUACUAAAUGAUAAAUAUGCCCCUUUACUAACAAACUAACUUCCUAACUCUAUUAAUUCUCUCAAUUGGCAUAUAACAACUACUCCUCCCUUGAAAGAAUCCUUGUUCUCAAGGAUUACAAUGAGGAAAUUGUCUCUGAAGCUCUUGCAAAUCCAUCCAAGUGUUGUCAGCUUCUAAAC